GAAUUGCGCCGUGAAUCACCCAUAUGAUUGUCAAUUUAAAACAUAAUUUUGCAAGUCAAGAAAGUCUCAGUUUGUUGUAAAACUGUUUAAGUGUCAGACUGUGAAAAUACGUGAUUAGAAAGACAACACAAGUCGUGUAAGUGACGUCUCUCUCACUGAAAGAUGAUGCCUGUGUGUUUCGUACUAGCAUAUACCCACAUGAGAAACGGGUCUCGCUCGUUCUUUAGCUUCCCGGCUGAUAAAAAGACUAUCGUGACUACCGUACAUAUUUUUUCAGAAAUCAGGUCCCAUGGGGGUCCACCGGAAGGGGCGGGACUUCGCCUCUCUGUUAGAUCUGGUUGCAGGCUUGGAUCACUGCCAGCAAUCAUGUAAAAAGGAUUCUGACAAGAGAGGGAUUAUUACUGCUGUUGGCUGAUCUGAUGUUCCUUUACAAAAUCCUCCCCACAAUAAAAUAAAAAGAGAUAGAACAGCGACGGUAGAGAGACUGUGCUGAAGGCAGACACUACUUCGGGCAUUUGAAAUAGCACUAACCCAUUUACCCAGGAUAUAUAUUGGCUAAAUCUGACGAGAUCAUAUAUUGGAUCAUCACAUCUCUCCACUAAGCUAUAUAUGUGUCUGACUGUUUAGAAUAGCUCUACAGAGGCCCAGUGUGUCUGAAUAAACCUGUUAUUACACAUGCAAA
Long non-coding RNA from Sebastes umbrosus (honeycomb rockfish), 682 nucleotides. RefSeq lists it as uncharacterized. NCBI's taxonomy places the organism in Eukaryota, Metazoa, Chordata, Actinopteri, Perciformes, Sebastidae. The record is from RefSeq and is a predicted model, not a curated record. The transcript is spliced from 2 exons.